CCAGCAGCCGCGGUAAUUCCAGCUCCAAUAGCGUAUAUUAAAGUUGUUGCAGUUGAAACGCUCGUAGUUGGAUGUUUUGUGCCCGCCGAGGCCCUGUUCAAGGAGCCACCGUGCUCUUGGGGUCAUACUGGCGUGGCGCAGCACUUCUCUCGAUUGCUUUGUGCGUGCCAUUUGUUUGGUGCGUGCUGGGCGCGGGGCGAUUACUUUGAAAAAAUUAGAGUGUUCAAAGCAGGCAGUUUUUUGCUUGAAUAGAUUAGCAUGGAAUAAUGGAAUAGGACUUUGGUUUCUAUUUUGUUGGUUUUGGGGCCGAAGUAAUGAUUAAUAGGGAUAGUUGGGGGCAUUAG
This 344-nucleotide ribosomal RNA is filed under the name uncultured eukaryote. RNAcentral describes it as "SSU rRNA". It matches the Rfam family "Eukaryotic small subunit ribosomal RNA", at positions 567 to 894 of the family's 1831-position model. The record is from RNAcentral.